Molecule: ribosomal RNA, 301 nt
Filed under: uncultured bacterium
Lineage: Bacteria
Description: partial 16S ribosomal RNA
Rfam family: Bacterial small subunit ribosomal RNA
Source: RNAcentral
CAGCCGCCGCGGUAAUACGUAGGUGGCAAGCGUUGUCCGGAAUUAUUGGGCGUAAAGGGCUCGCAGGCGGUUUCUUAAGUCUGAUGUGAAAGCCCCGGCUCAACCGGGGAGUGUCAUUGGAAACUGGGAAACUUGAGUGCAGAAGAGGAGAGUGGAAUUCCACGUGUAGCGGUGAAAUGCGUAGAGAUGUGGAGGAACACCAGUGGCGAAGGCGACUCUCUGGUCUGUAACUGACGCUGAGGAGCAAAGCGUGGGGAGCGAACAGGAUUAGAUACCCCAGUAGUCCCUGUCUCUUAUACAA